CGUACCGCAUAUUCCGUUUAUUACAAAAGCUUUUGGAGACAAGUGUAGCCGCACAAUGUCUGAACAUGUAUUGUCAUAACAGCAUUAUUUAUAAUUCAAACACGCCUAAUAAUGGGGGGGUUGAGGUAGCCUAAACAAGUCUGCGUUUGGUUCAAUUUAUGUUCUAUACCUUAUAUCAAUCAAUCAAUCAAUCAAUCAAAAUUUAUUUAUAAAGCGCUUUUUACAACAGCAGUUGUCACAAAGUGCUUUACAGAGACACCCGGCCUUAAACCCCAAGGAGCAAACAACAGCAGUGUUGAAUUUAUAUGUGUACAUGCAGCACAAGUGUCAUAUUUGCCCUUAUGUCUUCAGGUUUGAAGUUCCUCAGUAUGUGUGUGCGUUGUCCAUCUGUGUCCUGUUUGCCUAAGACACCCAAGCUAAAUGUGUAAGUGUAUUGGCUCCUCUGGUGGGGCAGGAGACAUUUUGGUGGAAUUUGGGAAAAACAUUUUUCAGAUUUGAAUGGUUGAAAUCCCCUGCAAUCAGAAAAACCCCAUCCGGGUCUUCUGUCUGCUGUUUGCUAAUAGCUGCAUGCAGUUCAUUCAUUGCUAGUGUAGCAUUAGCAUCUGGGGGUAUGUAGACUGCCGUACCAACAAUUGAUGUAAAGUCCUGAGGCAAGUAAAAAGGCCUGCAACUAAUCAUCAGGUACUCCAGACUGGUUGAGCAGUGACUCCAGUUAAGUUAGUGUUUGUACACCAUGUUUUGUUUACAUAAAUGCCCAGCCUACCUACUCCGGUCUUACCGGAGUCCACUUCAGUCCGAUCUGCUCUGAAGACAUCGCGCCCUUCCAGCUCAAUUACGUUGUUGAAGAUCCACCACAUCAUGCCUACAACCUCGUCCUCCUGCCUGCCCGCCAGCCUACCUGCUCUGCCCAUGCUGCCUGCCAUCCCCGCCGCCCUGUCUGCCUUACCCCUCUGGCCAACCCUACUACCCCGCCUACCAGCCCAGCCCUCACCCCCCCCGGCCUUGCCUCAGUCCUGAUACCUGCAUUACACCCUGAGUUUAGUUGCUUGGGUCCACUAGAGGUAUUUCCCACAACAAUCAUUACACUUAUGAGUGAACGAUUUGAACCAGUUCAACAUAUUUUAAUUGAACUGCCAGCUCCCCACCUCCCCAUGGCUGGGCUUCACCGUCAGCUCAACCCUUCCCCAUGGCUGGGCUUCACCGUCAGCUCAACCCUUCCCCAUGGCUGGGCUUCACCGUCAGCUCAACCCUUCCCCAUGGCUGGGCUUCACCGUCAGCUCAACCCUUCCCCAUGGCUGGGCUUCACCGUCAGCUCAACCCUUCCCCAUGGCUGGGCCUCAGUGCCAGCUCAUCCCUUCCCCAUGGCUGGGCCUCACUGCCAGCUCACCCCUUCCCCGUGGCUGGGCUUCACUGUCAGCUCACCACUUCCCCAUCACACACGCUGACAGGGACCAGAUUAUGCGAUCCAAGCAAUGAGCAAUGAUUGUGGUCAUCCUCUAUAAGCACAUGACUCCGUGGUUCCUGGUUGUCAUCUGACUUUGGGCAGGGAUCCAUGCCCUGCAGAAGGGAUUCAGGCACUACAUCAGGGGACUGUGCCCUGCAAAAGGGAUCCAUGCCCUGCAGAAGGGAUCCAUGCCCUGCAGAUUGGACCCAUGCACUGCAGAAGGGUCUCCAGCACCUGAAUGGGGUCCAUUGCAAUGAAUGGUACCUAGCAAACUGGACAAGAUGUGUCUCUGGCUUAUCACACAUUUUGCUGCAGCACUGACUAAUUUAGUUUUACUUUUCUACAUGAAACAUUAUUAUAUUGCAUAUUUUAUUUAAACAACAAUACACUUGGUCAUUUAUUCUCUCUAUCGUGAGAGCAAUAACAACUCUCAUUGUAACCACCCUGAUCUCUCUCUGUUGGGAAAGUUUUCAGAUGUCGCCCACAUCCCUUUUUUGGCUCAGUUGUGGUUUUUUAAGUGUGGUUUUGCUCACCCUUUUGACCUAAGAGCUACUACAGUAAACAUCAUCUUAUUCAAUGAAAGAGGAACUUGUUUACAAGAAAAGGUCUCUCAUCAGACACUGAUCUGCAGAUAUUUAUCUUCUCGGCCCGUUUAGCAGAAAGAGGUGAGCCUUAAGUCUCAUGCAUCACAAAGUGAUGUGCAUUCAUUGUGCCUAAGAAAAGCCCUUAGCAAUGGUAUUUUGGCCAAAUACUAUCCUCUUGGGUAUUGACGCUCAAAUUUAGUAUACAUUUUUGUCCCCAAAGUGACAUGCAAUUAUACCCCAUGUUAAAGUACAAAUGUAUUUGGACAGAAUAACAUUAGUUACUGUUAGAAUGACCCUUUAGCGGCUGGAUGAUGCAGUAAACAAAGAGGCCAAAGCAAUGGUGUGGUAUACCAAAUCAUGCUGAUUUUUAUUCAAACAUCAAUUGUACAUACCGAUAGGUAGCAACCAAGGAAGUGAGACGUAACCAACAACACAGGCAGCUGGAAACUGGCGCCCUUUAUACUGUGUUCCCGGUCUACUAAAUUGAAUGGUUCAGCGAGUAGGUGUUCUCACCAUAUUCUCACAUGACUAUAGAAACUUAAACAACAUGUAGAAUACAAUUCAAUACAUAAUACACAUAAUCAUUCACCCCCUACUGGUUACCACCUAACAAACUUAUAAAACAAUUACAAAAAAUAUAUUACCUUGGGUCCUGCCACAUCUAAUGUUUUGCUGGUGUUUCUCCUGUGCAUACUGUAAACCUUCACAUAUCUGUUCCAACCACCUGUAGAAUGUUCAAGUUCUUUUGGCUUCAUUAUUUGUGCCAUUACUAAGCUCACCAGUGCUUACUAUCUUCUUCUUAAUGUACCAUAUGUGAUUUUGGACUUUCUAAUGCCUUGGCAAUGUGUCUGAUUUAUUCAGAUUUACUUCAAGAUUGACAGGUUUACUUAGACUGACAUUUAUUUUGGUCCUCAUGUUUCAAGACACCGACAUCAGACUCCAAAUGCAAAGCCUAGACUCAAGACUCGUCAAUGAAAGCUCUCUUAUGGAUGAACAAUUGAAGCCAAAUAACGUAAAAUUGUGUCACUUUAUUCAAAACUUGCUGCAAUUUCUAAAUGAUUCAUCUAAUGUGGAUACAAUUACAUGAAAUUAAAGCUGGCAGUUUGCACUUAAACCAAACAGCAAUUGUUUGAUUUUAAACCAAAAGUGAUAUAAAACUUAUUAUUAUUAAGAUUAUUAAAAGAACAUUUGAAACUGCGCUCAUGCAAAACCUGCUUAAUUAAAGAUCAUGUUUGACCUGUUUUAUGGUGUCUUGUUUCCUGAGACAACACCUUCCAAUCAGAAAAGAAAGAUGGUUUGACUGCUGUGUCACAAAUCCCCCUGGUGCACCAGCUCACGGACUACGUCUCUGGCCUACUAGGCAUGACUGUACAGGCUAAUCACCUUCACCCCGGACUGUCCCUGUUCAUCACAUAUACCUGUUUUCCAUUCCCACUGAUCAUUGCACCUACAUAAGGCCUUCUGUCUAGUGCCAGCUCACCCCUUCCCCAUGGCUGGGCCUCACUGCCAGCUCACCCCUUCCCCAUGGCUGGGCCUCACUUCCAGCUCAUCCCUUCCCCAUGGCUGGGCCUCACUGCCAGCUCAUCCCUUCCCCAUGGCUGGGCCUCACUGCCAGCUCACCCCUUCCCCGUGGCUGGGCUUCACUGUCAGCUCACCCCUUCCCCAUCACACACGCUGACAGGGACCAGAUUAUGCGAUCCAAGCAAUGAGCAAUGAUUGUGGUCGUCCUCUAAAAAACUUGGUCGUUUUUUAUCACGAUCAUGAGAGCAAAUAAAACUCUCAAGUGAAAAUCAAGUGAAAGUGGACAAAAAAGUUAAUAUGCAAUAUUAUAGGCAAAAUGUGGAUUUUGUAAUGUAACUGUAAACAAGCUGGUACAAUAACAAUGCCAUAAUGCCAUACAGUAAAAACCAAACUUGAGACUGAAUAUGUCAGUAUCAUUUUCUGUGUUUUAGCUAAAUAUAUUUUACAUUAAAAACUAGUUUGGUAUAAAUAGAAUAAUUUUCAUGAAACAAAAAGUACAGCAUAUUGACACAAUGACAUGAUACUCACCUUAUUUCACCAAUUAGAUAUGGGAAAACGUUUUUAGGCUACAUAUAUGAGGCCACAUAUACUACUGUUGAAUCAAU
Molecule: long non-coding RNA, 4154 nt
Organism: Esox lucius (northern pike)
Lineage: Eukaryota; Metazoa; Chordata; Actinopteri; Esociformes; Esocidae
Source: Ensembl